AGCGCAGGCGGUUAUAUAAGACAGAUGUGAAAUCCCCGGGCUCAACCUGGGAACUGCAUUUGUGACUGUAUAGCUAGAGUACGGCAGAGGGGGAGUGGAAUUCCGCGUGUAGCAGUGAAAUGCGUAGAUAUGCGGAGGAACACCGAUGGCGAAGGCAAUCCCCUGGGCCUGUACUGACGCUCAUGCACGAAAGCGUGGGGAGCAAACA
RNAcentral lists this ribosomal RNA (208 nucleotides) under uncultured bacterium. RNAcentral's name for it is "partial 16S ribosomal RNA". It matches the Rfam family "Bacterial small subunit ribosomal RNA", at positions 568 to 774 of the family's 1533-position model. The record is from RNAcentral.